This 253-nucleotide ribosomal RNA is filed under the name uncultured bacterium. Its description in RNAcentral is "partial 16S ribosomal RNA". It matches the Rfam family "Bacterial small subunit ribosomal RNA", at positions 524 to 776 of the family's 1533-position model. The record is from RNAcentral.
UACAGAGGGUGCGAGCGUUAAUCGGAAUUACUGGGCGUAAAGCGCACGUAGUCGGCUUUGCAAGUCGGGUGUGAAAUCCCCGGGCUCAACCUGGGAACUGCAUCCGAGACUGCAUUGCUAGAGUAUGGGAGAGGGAAGCGGAAUUUCUGGUGUAGCAGUGAAAUGCGUAGAUAUCAGAAGGAACAUCAGUGGCGAAGGCGAGUCCCUGGACAACUCCUGACACUGAGGCACGAAAGCUAGGGGAGCAAACAGG